GGCAGUGGAGAAGGCAAUUUAGUGUAAAUCAAUACUGUCCUCUCUUGGGUCAUGUGGGUCCUUUGUAUUCUACUAUGAAACAUACCACUGACCAUGUUUUGCCUCUU
Non-coding RNA from Callorhinus ursinus (northern fur seal), 107 nucleotides. NCBI's taxonomy places the organism in Eukaryota, Metazoa, Chordata, Mammalia, Carnivora, Otariidae. The record is from RefSeq and is a predicted model, not a curated record.